UACGGAGGGUGCAAGCGUUGUUCGGAAUCACUGGGCGUAAAGGGCGCGUAGGCGGUUUGAUAAGUGAGAUGUGAAAGCCCACGGCUUAACUGUGGAAGUGCAUUUGAAACUGUCAGACUUGAGUAUCAGAGGGGAAAGUGGAAUUCCCGGUGUAGGGGUGAAAUUCGUAGAUAUCGGGAGGAAUACCGGUGGCGAAGGCGACUUUCUGGCUGAAUACUGACGCUGAGGCGCGAAAGCGUGGGGAGCAAACAGG
Molecule: ribosomal RNA, 253 nt
Filed under: uncultured bacterium
Lineage: Bacteria
Description: partial 16S ribosomal RNA
Rfam family: Bacterial small subunit ribosomal RNA
Source: RNAcentral